GCCAGGAGGGGAUCCAGGUGAAUUCCCUGGAAUUCGCCCUUUCCCCCUCCCCCCGCGCUCCCUCGGGCACUUUGGCUUUCGCGUCUCUGCAGCCGCGAUCGGGGACGGCUGCGAUGGCCCCAGCGCUGGGGCUGGGGGUGCUCCGGGGGCUCCUGGGGCUCCUGGGGGACCCGGGGGCCGCGACCAAAGGAGUCCAUGUUAUCUCGGAGUUCUCUGCACCUGCGCUGGUUGUUGCUAGGGGGUCAUCCUUCUGUCUCCUGGUGGUCGGUGAUAAAGGCUGUGGAGUCUUCCUCAGCCGCGUCUUCUUCACCCUAUGUCCUUAUUUGGUGACUUCUCUGUGGAAAAUUACCAAAAUCUUAUGAUUAACGCAAUAUGUGCCCUAUCAAGCUUAAGCAAGCAAAUGUCCUGCCUUGCAAACUGUGCCCUAUCAAGCUUAAGCAAGCAAAUAUCCUGCCUUGCAGACUGUUUAUCUGCCCCUGCCCCUUCCCCAGCUUUUCCCUGGUCGUUAUCUCUGUGAGUUAUCUGCUUGUACCAUUUGUCAGCGGGAAAGGUUUCCCUGCUGGGUGUUUAUCUGCCCCUGCCCCUUCCCCAGCUUUUCCCUGGUCGUUAUUUCUGUGAGUUAUCUGUUUGUACCAUUUGCUGGGUGGGACUAUGUGUGGGCUCCUGCAACCCCUUCCCUGGUAUCCUUGUAGCUCAUAUCUCAUGAAGUAGUACAGAAAUAGUCAGCAGACAACUCUUGUAACA
Molecule: non-coding RNA, 744 nt
Organism: Agelaius phoeniceus (red-winged blackbird)
Lineage: Eukaryota; Metazoa; Chordata; Aves; Passeriformes; Icteridae
Source: RefSeq, a predicted model, not a curated record